GGAACAAAUCAUCGCGCAUCGAAAGAUAGAACACUAUUACAAAGCAGUGGAUCAAUCUUUCCAAGUUAAACGUAAUCUUCGCGAAGUUUCUAAGCCCCGCGCGUUGAACUUGUUCAAUCCUUAUUGGAAUUCAUCGCGUAUCCUCGAUACCGCAGAGAAGUUUGAAAUCUUGACGAGGUGACGCGGAUCGUUACAAAGCAAACAGAGAUUACUCUUUGGGAGGAGGUUCGGUUACAUGUCUGCGCACAAAACGUGCGACGUUCAUAAUUUUCUUUGACUACGCUCGGCGGCGGCCCCGUUCGUUGCCACUUCGCUAAUGAAACGGAGGAGCGGUGGCUAAUGAGCCUAAUGAGCGAGCUCUGUUGAAGUGUGUGCUUAUCGUCUUACUUGCGCCCCUAUGGGGGUCGCCCGCGGAUAAUACAAUCUCGCUGAGAAAAUUGUCGAGGCGCAGAAGAAGGCUGACCUGCGUGAUGUACGAUUGGGAUCUACAAUUAACCUGGCUGUAUUUUGGUAGCUCACUACGGGCAUUUACAGUUUUCAUCAAUCUUUGAACGCUAUCGAGGGUCUAACAUGAAAAAUGCCUUUUCUCGGAAACGGAUUUGACUCGGAGCGAGGAGUGGCCUCGGCGGAGAUGGAUCUUUCGUGAAACGUGUACGCGGCCACUACGGGGGAAGACGUGAAUUAAGACCGAAGGCGUUUCAUGGAAAAUUAAGGGGUUACACGGGACGGAUCAAAAGGUGUUGAAAUAAAUUUUCUAUCGACCGUGCUGCGUACAGAGGGAAUAAA
This is a long non-coding RNA of Ceratina calcarata, 786 nucleotides long. RefSeq lists it as uncharacterized. The record is from RefSeq and is a predicted model, not a curated record. The transcript is spliced from 4 exons. Lineage: Eukaryota; Metazoa; Arthropoda; Insecta; Hymenoptera; Apidae.